UCCUGUUUGAGUUCCUGUCCUGACUUCCU
This 29-nucleotide non-coding RNA is filed under the name Mus musculus (house mouse). Lineage: Eukaryota; Metazoa; Chordata; Mammalia; Rodentia; Muridae. The record is from RNAcentral.